AAAAAGUUUUUUUGCUUAGGGUUUUUAUAUAUGUUUGGGUUUUAUGCAAGUUUUUGCGUGACUGAGAUUUUUAUUUAGAUAAUAAUAUUUUUUGUUUCUUUACAGAUAUUUAUGCAGUAAUUAGUAUUAAAUAAUUCAAUAAUUUGAGAUUUAAAAAAAAAUAUUUAGUUCAAACUAAAUUUGUGCCAGCAGUUGCGGUUAGACAAAUUGAGCAAUAAAAAUUGUUUAGAUUGGGGUUAAUUUAAAAAAAGUUUAUUAUUAGUAAAUUCGGGGAUUAUUAGGUGAAAUUUUAAUUUUUUUUGAUGUAAUAAAAGCUUUGGGGUGAGGCUUGAAAACUUUAUUUAAAACUAGGAUUAGAUACCCUAUUAUAGAAGAGUAAUGUUUUAAAUUCUAAAUUAGUAGUAGUUAUGUUCUUGAAAAUUAAUGAAGAUGGCGGUAUCUUAGUCCAUUCAGAGGAACCUGUCCUGUAAUUGAUAAUCCACGUUCUAAUUUACUUGUUUUAUAUAGUUUAUAUAUCGCUGUAGUUUUGAAUAUUUCUUUUGAAUUUUAAUAUUCAGGAUUUUUGUAGAAAAAAAUUCAAGUCAAGAUGUAGUUCAUAAAUAAGGAGAGAUGGGUUACAUUAUUAUUAUAUUUGGAUUUAAAUUUGUGAAAUUUAUUGAAAAUGGAUUUGAGAGUAAUUUAGAACAGGUUUUCUAAAUGAUUAAGGCUCUAGGAUAUGCACAUAUCGCCCGUCACUUCCAUUCUAAAAUGGAAUAAGUCGUAACAUAGUAGAUGUACUGGAAAGUGUAUCUAGAAGACA
RNAcentral lists this non-coding RNA (799 nucleotides) under Curculionoidea sp. 2 KM-2015. RNAcentral also lists the same sequence under 1 other name. The record is from RNAcentral. Lineage: Eukaryota; Metazoa; Arthropoda; Insecta; Coleoptera.